This 400-nucleotide ribosomal RNA is filed under the name uncultured bacterium. RNAcentral's name for it is "bacterial SSU rRNA". It matches the Rfam family "Bacterial small subunit ribosomal RNA", at positions 356 to 773 of the family's 1533-position model. The record is from RNAcentral.
GGGGAAUAUUGCACAAUGGGGGGAACCCUGAUGCAGCGACGCCGCGUGAGGGAAGAAGGUUUUCGGAUUGUAAACCUCUGUCCUUGGUGACGAUAAUGACGGUAGCCAAGGAGGAAGCCACGGCUAACUACGUGCCAGCAGUCGCGGUAAUACGUAGGUGGCAAGCGUUGUCCGGAAUUACUGGGUGUAAAGGGAGCGUAGGCGGGAAGACAAGUUGGGAGUGAAAUGUAUGGGCUUAACCCAUAAACUGCUUUCAAAACUGUUUUUCUUGAGUGAAGUAGAGGCAGGCGGAAUUCCUAGUGUAGCGGUGAAAUGCGUAAAUAUUAGGAGGAACACCAGUGGCGAAGGCGGCCUGCUGGGCUUUAACUGACGCUGAGGCUCGAAAGCGUGGGUAGCAAAC